UGGGGAAUUUUGGACAAUGGGCGCAAGCCUGAUCCAGCCAUGCCGCGUGCGGGAAGAAGGCCUUCGGGUUGUAAACCGCUUUUGUCAGGGAAGAAAUCUUCUGAGUUAAUACCUCGGGAGGAUGACGGUACCUGAAGAAUAAGCACCGGCUAACUACGUGCCAGCAGCCGCGGUAAUACGUAGGGUGCAAGCGUUAAUCGGAAUUACUGGGCGUAAAGCGUGCGCAGGCGGUUUUGUAAGACAGAGGUGAAAUCCCCGGGCUCAACCUGGGAACUGCCUUUGUGACUGCAAGGCUUGAGUGCGGCAGAGGGGGAUGGAAUUCCGCGUGUAGCAGUGAAAUGCGUAGAUAUGCGGAGGAACACCGAUGGCGAAGGCAAUCCCCUGGGCCUGCACUGACGCUCAUGCACGAAAGCGUGGGGAGCAAACAGGAUUAGAUACCCCU
This 442-nucleotide ribosomal RNA is filed under the name uncultured bacterium. Its description in RNAcentral is "partial 16S ribosomal RNA". It matches the Rfam family "Bacterial small subunit ribosomal RNA", at positions 355 to 788 of the family's 1533-position model. The record is from RNAcentral.